AUUGAACGCUGGCGGCAGGCCUAACACAUGCAAGUCGAACGGUAACAGGAAGCAGCUUGCUGCUUCGCUGACGAGUGGCGGACGGGUGAGUAAUGUCUGGGAAACUGCCUGAUGGAGGGGGAUAACUACUGGAAACGGUAGCUAAUACCGCAUAACGUCGCAAGACCAAAGAGGGGGACCUUAGGGCCUCUUGCCAUCGGAUGUGCCCAGAUGGGAUUAGCUAGUAGGUGGGGUAACGGCUCACCUAGGCGACGAUCCCUAGCUGGUCUGAGAGGAUGACCAGCCACACUGGAACUGAGACACGGUCCAGACUCCUACGGGAGGCGGCAGUGGGGAAUAUUGCACAAUGGGCGCAAGCCUGAUGCAGCCAUGCCGCGUGUAUGAAGAAGGCCUUCGGGUUGUAAAGUACUUUCAGCGGGGAGGAAGGGAGUAAAGUUAAUACCUUUGCUCAUUGACGUUACCCGCAGAAGAAGCACCGGCUAACUCCGUG
This 490-nucleotide ribosomal RNA is filed under the name uncultured bacterium. Its description in RNAcentral is "partial 16S ribosomal RNA". It matches the Rfam family "Bacterial small subunit ribosomal RNA", at positions 30 to 507 of the family's 1533-position model. The record is from RNAcentral.